This 19-nucleotide unclassified non-coding RNA is filed under the name Chlamydomonas reinhardtii. Its description in RNAcentral is "small RNA Cre_2953". Lineage: Eukaryota; Viridiplantae; Chlorophyta; Chlorophyceae; Chlamydomonadales; Chlamydomonadaceae. The record is from RNAcentral.
UGAUACCGAGCUACCUCCG